CCUACGGGCGGCAGCAGUGAGGAAUAUUGGUCAAUGGGCGCGAGCCUGAACCAGCCAAGUCGCGUGAGGGAGGACGGCCCUACGGGUUGUAAACCUCUUUUGCCGGGGAGCAACGGGCGCCACGUGUGGCGUCACUGAGAGUACCCGGAGACAAAGCAUCGGCUAACCCCGUGCCAGCAGCCGCGGUAAUACGGAGGAUGCGAGCGUUAUCCGGAUUUAUUGGGUUUAAAGGGUGCGUAGGCGGAGCGUUAAGUCAGUGGUCAAAUUGAGGGGCUCAACCCCUUCCCGCCAUUGAAACUGGCGUGCUGGAGUGGAAGAGAAGUAGGCGGAAUGCGUGGUGUAGCGGUGAAAUGCAUAGAUAUCACGCAGAACCCCGAUUGCGAAGGCAGCAUGCCGGCUUCCGACUGACGCUGAAGCACGAAAGCGUGGGGAUCGAACAGGAUUAGAUACCCGAGUAGUC
Molecule: ribosomal RNA, 460 nt
Filed under: uncultured bacterium
Lineage: Bacteria
Description: partial 16S ribosomal RNA
Rfam family: Bacterial small subunit ribosomal RNA
Source: RNAcentral